Molecule: long non-coding RNA, 551 nt
Filed under: Sus scrofa (pig)
Lineage: Eukaryota; Metazoa; Chordata; Mammalia; Artiodactyla; Suidae
Description: lncRNA (ENSSSCG00065018775.1)
Source: RNAcentral
UCUCUGCCGCCCAGUUACAAAAAGUGGCAACUUCCCCUCCGGCCCGCAGACUGAUCGCUCAUUUGAAUGCGUUUCCUUUUCAUUAAGAACAAAGGUUGGAGUCCGAGCCUCGCGGCGCGGCGGCCGGAAAGUACAAGAUGUGUGUCGAGAGCAAACACACACACACACACACACACACACACAGAAUGACCCACGAGAAAGGGAAAGGGGAAAACACCAAUCCUGCGCUGGGCUUUUUCGACUUUUCCUUUAAAAAGAAAAAAGUUUUUCAAGCUGUAGGUUCCAAGAACCGGCAGGAGGGGGGCGAGGCGGGGUGGGGGGGUGUACAGAAAAGGCGCCUGGUCGGUUAUGAGUCACAAGUGGGUUAUAAAAGGGUCGCACGUUCGCAGGCGCGGGCUUCCUGUGCGCGGCUGAGCCGGGGCGCAGCGCGACGGUCCCAUCGGGCGGCCUCCACCCUCGGGACGCGAGCGGAGCGCCGAGCCCAGCGGCGAUCACGCGACGCGGGGAAGGAAGGAAGUGUGACUACCACUUCACUUUCAUAUAUCUCCUAA